GGACCUUCCAUUCUUCCUAUGCAUGCUCCCCCACUUCCUGUGUAUUUUUCCAUUCUGCAGAGGUGCUGUUCCCAUUUGCUGCAAAGAUUACCUAGAUGCCCUUGAAUUAUGGGGAACAAGAGCUUGGACACGUGCACACUGUACCUUCUUGGUCCCUUUGCGGUGGGCCGAUUCCAGCCCUGGAGCCUGGCACCACCUGGCGCUGCUGUCCCUCUGCCCACGCUGGGAAAACACCGUUGUAAAUGCUCCUGAACGCAUGCACCCUGUUCUGGUUCCCCUCGGCCCCUGCUCAGGCUUGACCACACCUCUGUCCUGGCCGCUGGGGCUGGCAGCGGAGCUCGGUGGUUUUGAUGGGGGUGACCGGGCCAGGUGUUGUUGGCCUGAGGACCCAGAGGCCUGAAUGGUGAGCAAGAGCCGAUUCCUUGCACUCUCCUUGUUUUACAUCAACGCGUCUAUGAGCGCUAGUUCUGUUCUGCAACAUACGGAUCUACUCUAUUUGAAGCCUUGAAUUCUUCACUAGAGGGUCUUGUUUUCAUGCUUUGGGACGGGGACUCAUCCAAUUUUCCAGGCAGCCUUUGAACUCUCAGUCCUCCUGCAUUAGCAUCCCACAUAACUGGCCACGACACACAGCUGAGACCACACGCAUUCUAACCAGCCACUGGGCACAGCACUGAAGCUGUUUCUGUAAGCCAGGGUGCUGGCCAAGCCUCUCCACUCGUCCCCGCGAGCUGCGGUGCUGGGUGCCCCGCUCUGGUCAUCCCCGCGAGCUGCGGUGCUGGCUGGCCCUCUUUGGCUGGGUAUCAAAGUCGGCUUCUUCCAGGGGCUGGCACACCGGAUGGCUCACAUCCCCAGGCCCUAUGGCAUAAACCCGUCACGAGGAGCUGUCUGUUGGUUUACUGCAAGGCCUUUCUGAGCCAUAGGUUAAUAUAUUAAUGAAGACAGUGGCUGCUCCCCUACAUUAAAUAAUGACUGUGAAUGAUUGGAAGAAAAACAUCUUCAUGUCCCCCUGCAGGGUGUGAGAUUGAUGAGAAUGGAUUGCCCUGCCAAGAGACUCAAAAAUAUUACAACCUUUUAUUCCUCUGCAGCGUGGACAAGUGUGUAUUCAUUUCUAUGUUAUUACAAAAAACCCUCUUCCAAUGAUUCUGAGCUAAAAACACAUUAA
This 1162-nucleotide long non-coding RNA is filed under the name Chinchilla lanigera (long-tailed chinchilla). RNAcentral's name for it is "lncRNA (ENSCLAG00000026189.1)". Lineage: Eukaryota; Metazoa; Chordata; Mammalia; Rodentia; Chinchillidae. The record is from RNAcentral.